This 253-nucleotide ribosomal RNA is filed under the name uncultured bacterium. RNAcentral describes it as "partial 16S ribosomal RNA". It matches the Rfam family "Bacterial small subunit ribosomal RNA", at positions 524 to 776 of the family's 1533-position model. The record is from RNAcentral.
UACGAAGGGGGCUAGCGUUGUUCGGAAUUACUGGGCGUAAAGCGCACGUAGGCGGAUUUGUUAGUCAGGGGUGAAAUCCCGGGGCUCAACCUCGGAACUGCCUUUGAAACUGGUGAUCUUGAGUACGGGAGAGGUGAGUGGAAUUCCCAGUGUAGAGGUGAAAUUCGUAGAUAUUGGGAAGAACACCGGUGGCGAAGGCGGCUCACUGGCCCGUAACUGACGCUCAGGCGCGAUAGCGUGGGGAUCAAACAGG